This is a long non-coding RNA of Triticum dicoccoides, 2907 nucleotides long. RefSeq lists it as uncharacterized. The transcript has 7 exons. The record is from RefSeq and is a predicted model, not a curated record. NCBI's taxonomy places the organism in Eukaryota, Viridiplantae, Streptophyta, Magnoliopsida, Poales, Poaceae.
GUCAAAAAAAACCCUAGCCGCCGCCCCUUCUUGUCCAACCCUCGCCCCUCCGCCUCCUCUCCUCCCCACUCCCUCCUCUCCCAGGCCGCCGCCCUCGACACGCCGCCAGGGUGCCAUCGACACGUCAGGGAUAGGCAGUGGUGGAGCGCAGCCCGAGCCCAGCAGCAGUCCACUCCUAACCCCAAGCAAGAGCGAGCAGCGGAUUGGAUCAAGGGAGCCCUCGCGGCCACGCCACUGGCGCCUGGAUUUGCUAGCCGUCGCCUGGAUCCGCCCUAGCCGCCGCCUCGAGUCACCUCCAUCGUUGAUGUGGGUCAACCCCACCGCUGCCGCCAGGAAUCCCAUCCCGGCAAGGGGGCUUGUCCUUCGGUGGUGGUCAUCCGGCGUUUGAGAUUGGAGGGAGACUAGGAGACCCUGGCGGAAGCGAGCCUGCUAGCGGAGGCUCCAGGGAUGCUAGGUGAUAGGGCCCAGUCCAUGGACCGGUUGUGCUGCUGGGAUUUUCAGGAUGAGCCUUCCUACCCAAAAUUAUCGGAUAAAUUCAACAUAUCUGUGGAAAUCUAGUUUUCUGCAGAUUCAGACGACUCUGAAUGUUGUUCCAUAACUGAUGACUCAAAAUGAUUAUACACUGAAACGGAAGCCUUUGGAAAAUGAAACAGAAACCUUACUUGAGAGCAGGUAGAGGCGUGGAGCCAAUGGUGAUGUUGUUGUUGCCUGCUCUUCUAAACUACUGCUUGUUCAUCGUUUGCUGUUUUGCGUAUCAAGGAAGGUAACUACUCAAAGCAGUUGGCAAGGCAAGCAUUCGAUGGAGCUCAAGCGUUGAUCUUGAAGGAAGGUAACUACUCAAAGGUAUGCACCUAUUCAUGUUGGAGCAGUUAAGUUUGCAAGGAUUUGCUGCUGGAGGGCAUGGUAUGUGCUCUCAAGAAGUUCUUUGUGAUCCGGUGACAUCUUUUGGCCUAUUGGGCAACUGGACAUGAUUUAUAUUGCGAAGUUCAAUGUAUGGAUGACAACUUCCUCUCAUAUCUGUUAUGUAUAUUUUAUAUACAUGGCUUUCGUGUUCUAUCAUGUGCGUUCCUGCUGCAGACUUUUGUAGGGAAAUUCACCAUGAGUUAUAAUGUAUAUAUUUUCAACUACAGCCAUUUUUUUCAAAAGGCAAAAUAAUUUCUGCAUGAUCACAUGUCAUGAUUAUCUCCAUGAAAAAUGCUUUAGACAGUACAAAAAUGCUUUAGACUGUACAAAAUUGUAAAGGAAUCAUGGGACAGUGUUGUAUGUUGCUGCUGAACAGAAGCAGGAUGCAACCAUAAAGAUUUUGUUGGAUCACCAUUCAGAUGUAAGUCCCAUUAAAUGUCUCUUUAUCAUUAUCUUAAAUCACAUUCCUUUAUAGUUUUCUCACUGUUAUAUUUGAUAAUCUUCGAUUGUCUGCUUUCUCCAUUUUCCAGUUAAUUUAAUCCCGAUAGUAAAUUAGUUAGUAUUUUGUUUUAUCUCUGAAAUCUCGAGAAGUACACAAGUUGUUAGGUGUCAGAAAAAGUACACAAGUUGUUAACAUUUGAAAUUAGAUUGUCUUUGACCGAACGAAGCUGUUGAGGAAGAAGGGAUAAAUAAGUGCCGAGAAGAAGGGAUUAGUAAGUUGCUUGAUUCAUGGGCCGAACUGGUUGCCAUACGACUGCUUUGAAAUAUACAUGCAUCUAAGUGGCACAUAAUACUCUCUUUUUUCAAACGCACAAAAACAAAGUUGAUAGAAACACUACUCUUUCUAAAAUAGUAUAAGGCCUCCUUAACAGGUUUUAUACAUGGUGUUAAGUAUACAUAUGUUCUGAAGGGGUUUUAUUGCCUAGCAUUUUGAACCCAAGGGGUUUUUCUCUGUCAAAUCAGCUUAUAAAAUUCAGUUUGGUAUUACCCAGCAACAAGCUAACCGUGCUACUGGUGAAGGCUUAGCAGGCUUGCAGUGGAGGAAAGGGGUCUGGCAAGCCGUAUGGAAAGCUCAUUGCCCUCCCAAAGUACAACACUUCUUAUGGAGAUGUCUGUUUGAAGAUGGCGGCCAUCUUUUCCUUCGCUGUAAGGAAGUCAAAAAAGUUUGGCGAACCACCCAGCUAGAGGGUGUGAGACAGGAGCUGCUUUUAUGUCAAUCUCCGUUGGAGAUUCUUGAAAGUAUUUUUGCACAACCGGAAAACAUCAAGCUUCAGGUCAUAUGCCUAUUGUGGAAGUGGUGGACUGAGGAAUAAUAUGAGGCAUGUAGAACGCAGACUGAAGCCUGAAGAAUUUAGUGCACAACUGUCUUUUGAUGUUGCUGAAUGGUGCCAGUUUUUCACGCCCUCCAAAGCCUGUUAUACAGGAUACGAGCAAGUGGAAGCCGCCAUCUGAGUUCGUCAAGAUCAACCUGGACUGUGCAUACUAUCCAGAAUCUGGUACGGGAGGUUGGGGCUGCAUGCUAGAGCGCCGCACGGAGAUAUCCUGUUCGCAGCCGCUGGACCGCUCAGUAACUUGUCUGCACUGUUACAGGCUGAAAGCAAUGCGAUUUUGAAGGCGAUCGACCUUUCAGAAAAUUUUGGCAUGGGCAAAGUCAUCUUUGAAACGGAUUGUCUAAAUCUGAAACAGGUUGUGUGUUCGGACGCCAGUGACAGAGCAGCUCUAGGAGCUUUAUUCAGAGAGGCAAAAUAUCGUCUCCGUUUGGGUUUCAUCGAGUACCGGAUGGAGUUCUCUCCCCGAAACUGUAACACACCAGCGCAUGUGCUGGCAAGUCUUGGUUCUCGGGAAGUUCAAAGUGACCAUACUCUGUGGAUCACGAAUUUUCCUGCUGAUGUAACCCAUGCAGCGGCCGGCGAUCUUGCCGCGACCACAUGUUAAUGGAAUGCAAGGUGUUUUAUAUAAAAAAGUAUACAUGUGUUCUUAGGCAAAAGAUAUGUAUUUUUUUUA